UACGGAGGGGGCUAGCGUUAAUCGGAAUUACUGGGCGUAAAGCGUGCGCAGGCGGUUUCGUAAGUCUGUCGUGAAAGCCCCGGGCUCAACCUGGGAAUUGCGAUGGAGACUGCGAGGCUAGAGUGUGUCAGAGGGGGGUAGAAUUCCACGUGUAGCAGUGAAAUGCGUAGAUAUGUGGAGGAACACCGAUGGCGAAGGCAGCCCCCUGGGAUGACACUGACGCUCAUGCACGAAAGCGUGGGGAGCAAACAGG
RNAcentral lists this ribosomal RNA (253 nucleotides) under uncultured bacterium. Its description in RNAcentral is "partial 16S ribosomal RNA". It matches the Rfam family "Bacterial small subunit ribosomal RNA", at positions 524 to 776 of the family's 1533-position model. The record is from RNAcentral.